AUCGCUUCUCGGCCUUUUGGCUAAGAUCAAGUGUAGUAUCUGUUCUUAUCAGGUUAAUAUCUGAGAUGUCCUCUAUAUGGGGAUUAAAUAUUAAAUGCAUUUGCAGUGGGAGGUGAAAGCAGGGCACUCUCUUCACUCCUUGCAUUGACCUGGUAUUGCAGUGCCACCAGGAACGGUGCACCAUUC
This is a small nuclear RNA of Solea senegalensis (Senegalese sole), 186 nucleotides long. RefSeq annotates it as U2 spliceosomal RNA. The transcript has a single exon. Lineage: Eukaryota; Metazoa; Chordata; Actinopteri; Pleuronectiformes; Soleidae. The record is from RefSeq and is a predicted model, not a curated record.